UCAGUAACACGUAGUCAACAUGCCCAGGGGACAUGGAUAACCUCGGGAAACUGAGGAUAAACCGCGAUAGGUCAUAAUAUCUGGAAUGAUUUAUGGCUCAAAUCUACAUGGCCCCUGGAUUGGACUGCGGCCGAUCAGGCUGUUGGUGAGGUAAUGGCCCACCAAACCUAAAACCGGUACGGGCUCUGAGAGGAGAAGCCCGGAGAUGGGCACUGAGACAAGGGCCCAGGCCCUAUGGGGCGCAGCAGGCGCGAAAACUCUGCAAUAAGCGAAAGCUUGACAGGGUUAUUCUGAGUGAUUUCCGCUAAGGAAAUCUUUUGGCACCUCUAAAAAUGGUGCAGAAUAAGGGGUGGGCAAGCCUGGU
Molecule: ribosomal RNA, 364 nt
Filed under: unidentified archaeon
Lineage: Archaea
Description: bacterial SSU rRNA
Rfam family: Archaeal small subunit ribosomal RNA
Source: RNAcentral